Monopterus albus (swamp eel) is the source of this 639-nucleotide long non-coding RNA. RefSeq lists it as uncharacterized. The transcript is spliced from 2 exons. Lineage: Eukaryota; Metazoa; Chordata; Actinopteri; Synbranchiformes; Synbranchidae. The record is from RefSeq and is a predicted model, not a curated record.
UUCUUGCAUCAUAGUAGAUCUCAGGUAAGUUUUAAUCAGUUUGAGCUUAGAGAAGCUUCUUUCAGCAGCAGCCACUGUAACAGGAAGAGUGGCAGAGAUUCUCAAAGCAACCCACAUGUUGGGGUAAAUUUCUGCCAGCUUCUUCUCAUGCAGGAAGGUCAAAAGUUCCAUGUUUGUCAUAUUGUUUGAUGGCAAUGGUGGGAAAUUCUUCAUUUCCUUUGCAAGUUCUGUGCCAUCAAUGUCCGGCUGGCUGUCAUGGGUCAGAGCAGUACUUAGGAUUAGAGAUGACAAAUGUUCUCCUGUUGACUGCUCUGCCACAAGAAAGCCCAAGAAAUGCUCUUUUACUUGAGGAAUGUCUUCUUGUGACACUAUCCUGACUAUGACAGAGAGCUGUUCCUUAUGACUCAGAUCAGGGGUGCAGUCUAAAAUGAUGGAGAAAUAUUUGGAUAUUUUGAUCUCUGUCACAAUGUGUUCUAUUAUUUUAGAACUGAUGGAGUCUAUCAGUUCAUUUUGGAUUGUUUUGCCAAGAUAAUGUACAUGACUGCCAGCUCCACUUUCCACCCUACUGACAUGCUGCUUCAUCACUGGAUCAAAUUUGGCCAUAAGCUCCACCUCUUUCAGGAAAUUUCCAUUGUCUGG